This 102-nucleotide small nuclear RNA is filed under the name Mesocricetus auratus (golden hamster). Lineage: Eukaryota; Metazoa; Chordata; Mammalia; Rodentia; Cricetidae. The record is from RNAcentral.
AUGCUGUCUUCGGUAGCAUGUAUACUAGAAUUGUAACCAUACAAAAGUUAGCAUGGCCCCUGUGCAUUGAUGACAUGCACUUAUGGAUUGUUGCAAGUCCAU